UGAAGUAUGGCUAACCGCUCCAUGUGCGUCCCUCCCGAAGCUGCGCGCUCGGUCGAAGAGGACGACCAUCCCCGAUAGAGGAGAGGACCGUUCUUCGGUCAAGGGUAUACGAGUAGCUGCGCUCCCCUGCUAGAACCUCCAAACAAGCUCUCAAGUAUGGCUAAUGACAACUAAGGAAAUGAAUGUUUUAGUUUAAUUUUAAUGAAUUCAAGUAUAAAAAGCCACAUGUAUCCAGUGGCUAAUU
RNAcentral lists this small nuclear RNA (244 nucleotides) under Neogale vison (American mink). RNAcentral's name for it is "Neovison vison (American mink) 7SK RNA (ENSNVIG00000016147.1)". It matches the Rfam family "7SK RNA". From Rfam's summary of the family: 7SK was discovered as an abundant small nuclear RNA in the mid-70s but a possible function has only recently been suggested. Lineage: Eukaryota; Metazoa; Chordata; Mammalia; Carnivora; Mustelidae. The record is from Rfam by way of RNAcentral.